This 38-nucleotide ribosomal RNA is filed under the name Williopsis jadinii. RNAcentral describes it as "Cyberlindnera jadinii partial 28S ribosomal RNA". The record is from RNAcentral. RNAcentral also lists the same sequence under 166 other names. Lineage: Eukaryota; Fungi; Ascomycota; Saccharomycetes; Phaffomycetales; Wickerhamomycetaceae.
UUGACCUCAAAUCAGGUAGGACUACCCGCUGAACUUAA